UCGAUUAAUGGGUAUUAUGGGAUAAUAUGUAAUGGGUAGUGAGAAACCGUUGAAUCGACCCUAAUUGGGAUUUGGAAUGCUGAAAAUUUGUGAUGAAUAGGUUGAGUGAAACCGUAAUCAAAUUGAUUAAUUGUGUGUGUAAUCAAACCGAUAAAUUGGUGAUGAAUGGCGACGAGUAGGUUUGAGUGGGAAGGGUCUGGAAUGGGCACAUGAGAUCCCUGCCAAAGAAAACGCGUCUGGUGAACUGUCAUGUUCGCCUAGCGAACAUAACCUUCGCCUAGCGAAGG
RNAcentral lists this long non-coding RNA (287 nucleotides) under Lathyrus oleraceus (garden pea). RNAcentral describes it as "Pisum sativum (pea) long non-coding RNA (PSAT_LNC014321)". Lineage: Eukaryota; Viridiplantae; Streptophyta; Magnoliopsida; Fabales; Fabaceae. The record is from RNAcentral.